This 1552-nucleotide ribosomal RNA is filed under the name Staphylococcus aureus. Its description in RNAcentral is "16S ribosomal RNA". It matches the Rfam family "Bacterial small subunit ribosomal RNA". Lineage: Bacteria; Bacillati; Bacillota; Bacilli; Caryophanales; Staphylococcaceae. The record is from RNAcentral.
UUUAUGGAGAGUUUGAUCCUGGCUCAGGAUGAACGCUGGCGGCGUGCCUAAUACAUGCAAGUCGAGCGAACGGACGAGAAGCUUGCUUCUCUGAUGUUAGCGGCGGACGGGUGAGUAACACGUGGAUAACCUACCUAUAAGACUGGGAUAACUUCGGGAAACCGGAGCUAAUACCGGAUAAUAUUUUGAACCGCAUGGUUCAAAAGUGAAAGACGGUCUUGCUGUCACUUAUAGAUGGAUCCGCGCUGCAUUAGCUAGUUGGUAAGGUAACGGCUUACCAAGGCAACGAUGCAUAGCCGACCUGAGAGGGUGAUCGGCCACACUGGAACUGAGACACGGUCCAGACUCCUACGGGAGGCAGCAGUAGGGAAUCUUCCGCAAUGGGCGAAAGCCUGACGGAGCAACGCCGCGUGAGUGAUGAAGGUCUUCGGAUCGUAAAACUCUGUUAUUAGGGAAGAACAUAUGUGUAAGUAACUGUGCACAUCUUGACGGUACCUAAUCAGAAAGCCACGGCUAACUACGUGCCAGCAGCCGCGGUAAUACGUAGGUGGCAAGCGUUAUCCGGAAUUAUUGGGCGUAAAGCGCGCGUAGGCGGUUUUUUAAGUCUGAUGUGAAAGCCCACGGCUCAACCGUGGAGGGUCAUUGGAAACUGGAAAACUUGAGUGCGGAAGAGGAAAGUGGAAUUCCAUGUGUAGCGGUGAAAUGCGCAGAGAUAUGGAGGAACACCAGUGGCGAAGGCGACUUUCUGGUCUGUAACUGACGCUGAUGUGCGAAAGCGUGGGGAUCAAACAGGAUUAGAUACCCUGGUAGUCCACGCCGUAAACGAUGAGUGCUAAGUGUUAGGGGGUUUCCGCCCCUUAGUGCUGCAGCUAACGCAUUAAGCACUCCGCCUGGGGAGUACGACCGCAAGGUUGAAACUCAAAGGAAUUGACGGGGACCCGCACAAGCGGUGGAGCAUGUGGUUUAAUUCGAAGCAACGCGAAGAACCUUACCAAAUCUUGACAUCCUUUGACAACUCUAGAGAUAGAGCCUUCCCCUUCGGGGGACAAAGUGACAGGUGGUGCAUGGUUGUCGUCAGCUCGUGUCGUGAGAUGUUGGGUUAAGUCCCGCAACGAGCGCAACCCUUAAGCUUAGUUGCCAUCAUUAAGUUGGGCACUCUAAGUUGACUGCCGGUGACAAACCGGAGGAAGGUGGGGAUGACGUCAAAUCAUCAUGCCCCUUAUGAUUUGGGCUACACACGUGCUACAAUGGACAAUACAAAGGGCAGCGAAACCGCGAGGUCAAGCAAAUCCCAUAAAGUUGUUCUCAGUUCGGAUUGUAGUCUGCAACUCGACUACAUGAAGCUGGAAUCGCUAGUAAUCGUAGAUCAGCAUGCUACGGUGAAUACGUUCCCGGGUCUUGUACACACCGCCCGUCACACCACGAGAGUUUGUAACACCCGAAGCCGGUGGAGUAACCUUUUAGGAGCUAGCCGUCGAAGGUGGGACAAAUGAUUGGGGUGAAGUCGUAACAAGGUAGCCGUAUCGGAAGGUGCGGCUGGAUCACCUCCUUU